This is an RNA transcript of Rhinopithecus roxellana (golden snub-nosed monkey), 1450 nucleotides long. It is a transcript of the gene named heterogeneous nuclear ribonucleoprotein A1 pseudogene, with no coding region annotated. The transcript has a single exon. Lineage: Eukaryota; Metazoa; Chordata; Mammalia; Primates; Cercopithecidae. The record is from RefSeq and is a predicted model, not a curated record.
UAAAGUCUCUCAUCUCCCUGCUGUCAUGUCUAAGUCAGAGUCUCCUAAAGAGCCCGAACAGCUGAGGAAGCUCUUCAUUGGAGGGUUGAGCUUUGAAACAACCGAUGAGAGCCUGAGGAGCCAUUUUGAGCAAUGGGGAACACUCACGGACUGUGUGGUAAUGAGAGAUCCAAACACCAAGCGUUCCAGGGGCUUUGGGUUUGUCACAUAUGCCACUGUGGAGGAGGUGGAUGCAGCUAUGAAUGCAAGGCCACACAAGGUGGACGGAAGAGUUGUGGAACCAAAGAGAGCUGUCUCAAGAGAAGAUUCUCAAAGACCAGGUGCCCACUUAACUGUGAAAAAGAUAUUUGUUGGUGGCAUUAAAGAAGACACUGAAGAACAUCACCUAAGAGAUGAUUUUGAACAGUAUGGGAAAAUUGAAGUGAUUGAAAUCAUGACUGACCGAGGCAGUGGCAAGAAAAGGGGCUUUGCCUUUGUAACCUUUGACGACCAUGACUCCGUGGAUAAGAUUGUCAUUCGGAAAUACCAUACUGUGAAUGGCCACAACCGUGAAGUUAGGAAAGCCCUGUCAAAGCAAGAGAUGGCGAGUGCUUCAUCCAGCCAAGAGAGGUCGAAGUGGUUCUGGAAACUUUGGUGGUGGUCGUGGAGGUGGUUUUGGUGGGAAUGACAACUUCGGUCGUGGAGGAAACUUCAGUGGUCGUGGUGGCUUUGGUGGCAGCCGUGGUGGUGGUGGAUAUGGUGGCAGUGGGGAUGGCUAUAAUGGAUUUGGUAAUGAUGGUGGUUAUGGAGGAGGCGGCCCUGGUUACUCUGGAGGAAGCAGAGGCUAUGGAAGUGGUGGACAGGGUUAUGGAAACCAGGGCAGUGGCUAUGGCGGGAGUGGCAGCUAUGACAGCUAUAACAAUGGAGGCGGAGGCGGCUUUGGCGGUGGUAGUGGAAGCAAUUUUGGAGGUGGUGGAAGCUACAAUGAUUUUGGCAAUUACAACAAUCAGUCUUCAAAUUUUGGACCCAUGAAGGGAGGAAAUUUUGGAGGCAGAAGCUCUGGCCCCUAUGGCGGUGGAGGCCAAUACUUUGCAAAACCAUGAAACCAAGGUGGCUAUGGCGGUUCCAGCAGCAGCAGUAGCUAUGGCAGUGGCAGAAGAUUUUAAUUAGGAAACAAAGCUUAGCAGGAGAGGAGAGCCAGAGAAGUGACAGGGAAGCUACAGGUUACAACAGAUUUGUGAACUCAGCCAAGCACAGUGGUGGCAGGGCCUAGCUGCUACAAAGAAGACAUGUUUUAGACAAAUACUCAUGUGUAUGGGCAAAAAACUCGAGGACUGUACUUGUGACUAAUUGUAUAACAGGUUAUUUUAGUUUCUGUUCUGUGGAAAGUGUAAAGCAUUCCAACAAAGGGUUUUAAUGUAGAUUUUUUUUUUUUGCACCCAUGCUGUUGAUUGCUAAAUGUAAUAGUCUG